UACCCGCCAAAUUUAAGCAUAUUAAUAAGCGGAGGAAAAGAAACCAACCGGGAUUCCCUGAGUAAGGGCGACUGAAAGGGGAUGAGCCCAGCGCAUAACCUUGCGGUCUUGUUGUGGCCGUCGAGGGGUGUUGCGUUUUGGUGGAUCCGUACCGCUCGAGUUGCUGACCGCCUAAGUCAUUGCUUGAAUGCAGCCCCGAGGAGGGUGGUAGGCCCGUGUGGCGGCGCCUGUAAAAAGGUUGGAGGCAAUUCGGGCGGAGGGGUCUUUACCGUAGAGUCGGGUUGCUUAGUACUGCAGCCCUAAGUAGGUGGUAAACUCCAUCUAAGGCUAAAUACUACCACGAGUCCGAUAUUUGACAAGUACCGUGAGGGAAAGCUGAAAAGGACUCUG
Molecule: ribosomal RNA, 390 nt
Filed under: Lactobacillus delbrueckii subsp. bulgaricus
Lineage: Bacteria; Bacillati; Bacillota; Bacilli; Lactobacillales; Lactobacillaceae
Description: partial 23S ribosomal RNA
Rfam family: Eukaryotic large subunit ribosomal RNA
Source: RNAcentral